RNAcentral lists this ribosomal RNA (274 nucleotides) under uncultured bacterium. RNAcentral's name for it is "partial 16S ribosomal RNA". It matches the Rfam family "Bacterial small subunit ribosomal RNA", at positions 523 to 796 of the family's 1533-position model. The record is from RNAcentral.
AUACGAAAGGUGCAAGCGUUGUUCGGAUUUACUGGGCGUAAAGAGAGUGUAGGUGGUUUAUUAAGUCGGAUGUGAAAUCCCGGGGCUCAACCUCGGAACUGCAUUCGAUACUGAUAGGCUAGAGUUUGGGAGGGGUAAGCGGAAUUCCGUGUGUAGCAGUGAAAUGCGUAGAUAUACGGAGGAACACCUGAGGCGAAGGCGGCUUACUGGACCAAUUCUGACACUGAGACUCGAAAGCGUGGGUGGCAAACAGGAUUAGAAACCCCAGUAGUCC